UUGUCCAUCUUUUCAGAGCUUCCUAAUGCAUGGAAAAGCAAGCAGGAAUGACAUCUGUAUGGUUCUAGAAUGAUAACAGUUACUUUGGUUAUAUCUGUUUGCUGAUGGGGGUGGAAGCUUUGAAGAGACUCACACCAAAUACAAUCUGGCCAUGGUGUAAGGUGCCUUCUGAUCAUAAUUUAAAAUAUCUGGAAAAGAGAACACAUGCAGAACAAAUGAUCCCUAAAGCUCCGAAUUGGAUUGUCUUUUCUCUGUGUCUAGGGCCAAAGAAUAAGGAAAAAAGAAAGGAAGAAAGAGAAGCAAUCAGAAAAACCAAAUUUAUCUAAUUCCAUCUAAAAUUGUGGGAAUGAGUCUCCUCAUUUUCUGGUGUGCUCCCACCCUCUAACUCAAAUUGCUUUUGGUUUUGAUUUUGUUUGUUGUUGUUGAUUGGUGCUGGGCAGACUUCCCAAUGCUAGGCAUGCCCUCCACCAUUAAGCUACAUCCCCAGCCCCUCAACUCAAAUUGGAAAGGUCUAAAUUGUUUUAGAUUAAGUAAAUCAUGAAUAAAUUUUCUGUAUUACUAUAAGAGAGGUUUUGCUAUAUUCUGGUUUGAAGUUAAUUUGUAUGGGUUAUAAAUGAAAAGGAGAAGGACUGGGAAAUACACAUUUAUUAUAAAAUAACUGAGAUAAAUUCUGCAGUGUCAUAAGUAUGUGUAGAUUUGAUAGAACUCAAGCAUUUUGUCUUUCACAAUGCAACAAGAGAUGAAGAUGUAAAAGGUGACUGCUUUCUAUAAGGAGCAGCUAACACCCUCAUUUACAUCACUGUGGCUGUGGGAGAGGCUUCAAAUUGUUACUCCAGAGCCUAAUCUAAACAGCAACUUAUCCAGACCAUCCCCAAGUGAAAGUCACAAAUGGAUGGAAAAGAGGGUGCGUUUGGUAGGAAAUGUGCCAUGCAUGGGGUUCCUUGCAGGGAAUGGAUGGGGGCAGAUCUGUUUUCGGGAUGUUCUGUGACUUCUGAUACUUGGCCAAAAUUGUGGUUAACUUGGCCCAAGCCACCAUUCCUUCCCAUAUGCUUGUAAAUGGUAUUGGAAGCAGUCAGUUUCAGCUUCUGGAUGGAUGAUACCCACCACCACCACCACCACCCCCAACCACCCCCCACCCCUGGCCCUGAGACAGACAGACAGACAGACAGACACACACACACACACACACACACACACACACACUAUGUUUGCAUGCACACUGGGGGAGAGGGUUAAUAAGUAUCCACGCCUUCCCUUAAUACCAAAAAUCUCUUCUUUCACUUUGGGCUUCUCCCUACUUCUGUUGUAUAAGAAUACUAGAAGUAAUAAUAACAACAAAAACUCAAGGCUUGUUCUUUUUUGGUACCAGGGAUUGAACUCAGGACCUUGCGCCUGAGAGGCGGGCGCUGGAACCACUAUGCUAAAUCCCCAGCCCUCAAGGCUUAUUCUUGUUUCCUCCUUUGAAUAGAUAUUUGCCUGUUCCUAUUUGUGGACAGGGUCUAGUCUUAGUUACCUAGAUUAAGCUACCCUCAGAAUGGGGUUAAUUUUGAGAUCACCCACUGUGUCCAACUGAUGCCCCGGUGAGAAUCAAGGUCAUUCUUCGGUGGGGGAAAGGGAUUCCAAGCCCCCCCCUGCAGCCCUGGAGCUGUUCAUCAGACUAGAAGCCUAAGGCCCAAGUCACUCUAAUUAACGUGCAAAUGUUGGCCAGCCUCUUGGCCAGUUUUAUGGGGUUUCACUGGCAGGGUCACAGGGUCUGAUGCUAGGGCUCUCAUGAGGAUUAAGGGUCUCAAUGAAUCAUGUGACUGUAAGUGGACUUGGAUGGUGACUGUUUUCAGGAGACCUAACCCCCACCUUGUGCUUUGCACCCUGAGGGUCUCUUUCCAUUCCCUGAAGGGAAUACCAGUCUUCUAGGAAUUAACAAAAGAAGGCACUCUCAGAAACUUAAACUGUUCUCCCCAUCUGUAUCUUGGCACAGAUGUAUAUGUGGAUGUAUACCUUGGCCUGUUGCAUCUAACCACUUUUCAACAAAUGAGAAGACCGAGGUGAAGAUGCACAUAAUGCCUGGUCAUAAUGUGCCAUUAGUGAAAUCAAGCUUGGUAACCUCCUCUCCCCUCCUGGGGUAGUUAUUUCUAAAGAUCUUUUGUUUAUGAAAAAUAAAGAAGUACAUACAGAGGAAGUUUCAGCAGGAAAUAUUUUGAGGGAGAGAAAAAAAAAAAAAAAAAAAACCAGUUUAGAGAGCCAGGCGGGAAAAGAGGCAGCCAGAGAAAUGACAGGGUGGAGGUCAGUUAACUGAACAGACCUAUCUCCACCAUUUCCGGAAAGUCUCCACUCCAAGGCAGCUGUUAGAAGCUGGAAUGAUCAUACCACAGAUUCUGUGUCUUGGUUAUUAUUUUUCUAAGCGAGCCCAGGAGAAUGGAUUCUAUUCUCCAAAGGAAAGGAAAUAGUGACUCCAAAAGGGAAGCAGCUCUCAACAAAAGCACUGGUGGAUCUGGUGACAAGAGGGACACGCGCCUCACUUACAGCCUGGAUAUUGUCUAGGGGAGGAGAUGGGAUGCCAGCAGCCGGGACUUCAGGGUGCAGGAUGAGCCCGCUGGGCACAGGCUGCUGGCGGGUGGCUGUGUUCCUGGGCUGGAGAAGAGGCUGUUACCCAGCUGGGGGGAUAGCCUAGAUUCACAAGGAGUCACAGAGGCAGGUUUCCACUUCCUCUUUACUGCUCGAGGAAUCUCACUUCCCAGGCUUCUCCCCAAGAAGAGCCUGGGCAUGAGAGGUCCACUGAGAAGGCCGGAAGCCCCGAGUUCCAACGCAACCCUAGGCGACCCGGGUUAGCCGGCGACCCGGGUUAGCCGCCGGCCCGGGUCGGAGCCGGCUCCAGCGGACGGACGGAACGGAGUACCGGGAGGAAGAAGUGAGCUCACCGGGCAAGGAAAGCAGGAGGCUCGGCCUGGCCGCCGCGGCCCUGGGCGCCGAGCUCUGAGGCGCAAAACCUGGAGGAGAAGCUGUGCGCCCAGGUCCUCCGCGGCCGCCCUCCGAAGAGGCCGCCCAGCCCGACUCCAGCCAUUCUCACAGCUCCCUCAGAAGGGGAGCGCCAGGCGCGACCUGCAGGUUCCGGCCUGGAAGACUGAGGCUGGAGUCCCAGGGUGCGCGCUGGCUGCGUUCUGGCCGAGGCGGCCUUCGAGUCGCCAGGCUUCCCAUCCUCCCUCCGCGUACGCGUUUCUUUCUGAGCCUCUCGCACCCGUGCAUGCUCUCUCUCUCUCUCUCUCUCUCUCUCUCUCUCUCUCUCUCUCUCUCUCUCUCUGGCUCUGGAAAAAACCAGGUCCUGCACCUGUAAUUUGCGAUUAGAAGUUUAUUUCCAUGUGAAUGCCAGUGCCCGAAGUUUUUGAAUCCUUCUCUACAGGAAAGGUAGAAUAACGUGCUGCGCAAUCUGUUUUCCAACCUCGCGCCCUCUACACAACUGCGACAUCACCAGGGUGCUCCGACGCAGUUCGGCCUACAGAAAUGUAUAGAGAGGGCUGCGAUUUCACCUCGGCACCUGGCCCUGUAAGCGGAAAGUUUGGGAGUGUAGGACAAGCAUUUCCAAACUGACUUUGGGCUGAACGAAUGCCAGGGUGCCUGUCGCCUGGGGAGGAUCCGCACCGUUGGUUCUCCGAAGCAGUGCUCCGGCCGACCGGCUCUGCCGCGGAACAGUCACUCGGCGGCCGAAACACGGG
RNAcentral lists this long non-coding RNA (3707 nucleotides) under Heterocephalus glaber (naked mole-rat). RNAcentral describes it as "lncRNA (ENSHGLG00000045269.1)". Lineage: Eukaryota; Metazoa; Chordata; Mammalia; Rodentia; Bathyergidae. The record is from RNAcentral.